Long non-coding RNA from Lethenteron reissneri (Far Eastern brook lamprey), 182 nucleotides. RefSeq lists it as uncharacterized. The record is from RefSeq and is a predicted model, not a curated record. NCBI's taxonomy places the organism in Eukaryota, Metazoa, Chordata, Hyperoartia, Petromyzontiformes, Petromyzontidae.
CUCGCGGGCAGCAGCUGGGGGUCGCCCUACGCUGGCGGCGCGUCCGGAGAGCAACUCACCAACGGCGACGCCAAGGUCGCUCACCACCAACCGCAGCAGGGCAAGAGCAACGGCUCCAGCGACCGGCAGCAGCAACAGCAGCAGCAGAAGGUCUUCACGUCGCUUGUCGGAGUUGUCCCCCC